This 465-nucleotide ribosomal RNA is filed under the name uncultured bacterium. RNAcentral describes it as "bacterial SSU rRNA". It matches the Rfam family "Bacterial small subunit ribosomal RNA", at positions 338 to 795 of the family's 1533-position model. The record is from RNAcentral.
CCUACGGGAGGCAGCAGUGGGGAAUAUUGCACAAUGGGCGCAAGCCUGAUGCAGCCAUGCCGCGUGUGUGAAGAAGGCCUUCGGGUUGUAAAGCACUUUCAGCGGGGAGGAAGGCGAUAAGGUUAAUAACCUUGUCGAUCGACGUUACCCGCAGAAGAAGCACCGGCUAAAUCCGUGCCAGCAGCCGCGGUAAUACGGAGGGUGCAAGCGUUAAUCGGAGUUACUGGGCGUAAAGCGCACGCAGGCGGUCUGUCAAGUCGGAUGUGAAAUCCCCGGGCUUAACCUGGGAACUGCAUUCGAAACUGGCAGGCUAGAGUCUUGUAGAGGGGGGUAGAAUUCCAGGUGUAGCGGUGCAAUGCGUAGAGAUCUGGAGGAAUACCGGUGGCGAAGGCGGCCCCCUGGACAAAGACUGACGCUCAGGUGCGAAAGCGUGGGGAGCAAACAGGAUUAGAUACCCGUGUAGUC